GUAGCGAACAGGAUUAGAUACCCUGGUAGUCCACGCCGUUAACGAUGAGCACUGGUUGUUGGCGAUACAUAGUCAGCGACUGAGCGAAAGUAUUAAGUGCUCCACCUGGGGAGUACGUUGGCAACAAUGAAACUCAAAGGAAUUUGACGGGGGCCCGCACAANCGGAGGAACAUGUGGUUUAAUUCGAUGAUACGCGAGGAGCCUUACCUGGGCUUAAAUGUAGAGUGCAUUGCUUGGAAACAGGCAUUUCCUUCGGGACUCUUUACAAGGUGAUGCAUGGUUGUCGUCAGCUCGUGCCGUGAGGUGUCGGGUUAAGUCCCAUAACGAGCGCAACCCCUAUUGUUAGUUACCAGCACGUAAUGGUGGGACUCUUACAAGACUGCCGGUGUAAACCCUGAUGGAAGGUGGGGAUGACGUCUAAUAGGACGGGCCCUUAUUUCCAGGGCUACACACGUGUUACAAUGGCAAGUACAAAGGGGCAGCCACACUGGCAACAGGGCGCUAAUCCCAAAAGCUUGUCUCAGUUCGGAUCGGAGUCUGCAACUCGACUCCGUGAAGGUGGAUUCGCUAGUAUCGCGCAUCAGCUAUGGCGCGGUGAUACGUUCCCGGGCAUGUACACACCGCCCGUCAAGCCAUGGAANCCGGGGUACACUGAAGU
RNAcentral lists this ribosomal RNA (659 nucleotides) under uncultured organism. RNAcentral describes it as "bacterial SSU rRNA". It matches the Rfam family "Bacterial small subunit ribosomal RNA", at positions 765 to 1427 of the family's 1533-position model. The record is from RNAcentral.